Molecule: ribosomal RNA, 486 nt
Filed under: uncultured bacterium
Lineage: Bacteria
Description: partial 16S ribosomal RNA
Rfam family: Bacterial small subunit ribosomal RNA
Source: RNAcentral
AUUGAACGCUGGCGACAUGCCUUACACAUGCAAGUCGAACGGCAGCACGGGUGCUUGCACCUGGUGGCGAGUGGCGAACGGGUGAGUAAUACAUCGGAACAUGUCCUGUAGUGGGGGAUAGCCCGGCGAAAGCUGGAUUAAUACCGCAUACGAUCUACGGAUGAAAGCGGGGGACCUUCGGGCCUCGCGCUAUAGGGUUGGCCGAUGGCUGAUUAGCUAGUUGGUGGGGUAAGGGCCUACCAAGGCGACGAUCAGUAGCUGGUCUGAGAGGACGACCAGCCACACUGGGACUGAGACACGGCCCAGACUCCUACGGGAGGCAGCAGUGGGGAAUUUUGGACAAUGGGCGAAAGCCUGAUCCAGCAAUGCCGCGUGUGUGAAGAAGGCCUUCGGGUUGUAAAGCACUUUUGUCCGGAAAGAAAUCCUUGGCCCUAAUACGGUCGGGGGAUGACGGUACCGGAAGAAUAAGCACCGGCUAACUACGUG